GAUGAAGAACGUAGCGAAAUGCGAUAAGUAAUGUGAAUUGCAGAAUUCAGUGAAUCAUCGAAUCUUUGAACGCACAUUGCGCCCCUUGGUAUUCCGAGGGGCAUGCCUGUUCGAGCGUCAUUAUAACCCUCAAGCUCAGCUUGGUGUUGGGGCCUGCUGCACUGGCAGCCCUUAAAAUCAGUGGCGGCGCCAUCUGGCUCUAAGCGUAGUAAUUCUUCUCGCUAUGGAGUCCUGGUGGAUGCUUGCCAUCAACCCCAAAUUUUUCUAUGGUUGACCUCGGAUCAGGUAGGGAUACCCGCUGAACUUAAGAAUAUCAAUAAGCGGAGGA
RNAcentral lists this unclassified non-coding RNA (328 nucleotides) under soil metagenome. RNAcentral describes it as "partial contains 5.8S ribosomal RNA, internal transcribed spacer 2, and large subunit ribosomal RNA". The stretch from base 1 to 120 matches the Rfam family "5.8S ribosomal RNA", at positions 35 to 154 of the family's 154-position model. The record is from RNAcentral.